This 96-nucleotide transfer RNA is filed under the name Rhodospirillaceae bacterium. Its description in RNAcentral is "tRNA-Sec". It matches the Rfam family "Selenocysteine transfer RNA". The record is from RNAcentral. RNAcentral also lists the same sequence under 1 other name. Lineage: Bacteria; Pseudomonadati; Pseudomonadota; Alphaproteobacteria; Rhodospirillales; Rhodospirillaceae.
GGAGGAGCAUCGCGGCCCGGUGGCUCGCACGGUCUUCAAAACCGCUGAGGCGCGUUAAACGUGCCUGGUGGGUUCGACUCCCACGCUCUUCCGCCA